This 897-nucleotide long non-coding RNA is filed under the name Homo sapiens (human). RNAcentral's name for it is "HSALNT0143383". Lineage: Eukaryota; Metazoa; Chordata; Mammalia; Primates; Hominidae. The record is from RNAcentral.
CCUGCCUCAGCCUCCCGAGUAGCUGGGACUACAGGCGCCCGCGACUACGCCCGGCUAAUUUUUUGUAUUUUUAGUAGAGACGGGGUUUCACCGUGUUAGCCAGGAUGGUCUUCGUCUCCUGACCUCGUGAUCCGCCCGCCUCGGUCCCCUAAAGUGCUGGGAUUACAGGCAUACACUCUUAAGUAACCUGGUGGGGACCCAUCAAACUACAAAGGGUUAUAGCUACUCUUACAGAAGACAUAAGAAGAUAUAUACGCAGAGAAGACAUCAUAAGACCUGAAGAUGAAAAACUUCUGAUCACAGAAGAAAGAUAUACAACAGCCUUGAAGCAUUCUGAGAACCCAGUGAAGGCAAUAAUGUCUCUUCCCAGAGAAAUUCACAGGAGCAAGACACAGAAGACAUGGAGAUCCAUGUAGAAUCAUAAGAAGGUAAAGAAGAAGGAAAAAAUGUAGCCCCUAGAAGCUUGGAACUGCCCUCAGACUACAGCCAGGAAGCAGACAGGGACUUCAGUUCCACAGCCACAAGGAGCUGAAUUCUGCCAACCAGAAUGAGCAAGAACAUGGAUUCUCCCCUCAAGCCUCCAGAAAAGAAUGCAGCCUACAGUCAGCACUUUAAGUCCCAUGCAACCUAUAAUAGAUUUCUGACCUACAGAGCUUUAAUGUCAUAAAUUGGUGUUGUUUUAAGUCAUGAAGUUUGUGGUAGCUUCUUAUGACAGUAAUUGAAAACUAAUACCUGGUCUUUUUAGCAGAAUAACGAGCACCCUGUAAUGUGUCAUUCAUGCAUAUCUUUUUUUUUUUUUUUUUUUUGGUGGGGGCAGGAAGACAAAACUCUAGAGUUUAAUCUUCCAGCUGACUGACUUGGAAGUGUUCCUGUCAAUAUAAAAGAUCUUGUUGGGGG